GAUGAACGCUGGCGGCGUGCCUAAUACAUGCAAGUCGAGCGAACAGAUGAGGAGCUUGCUCCUCUGACGUUAGCGGCGGACGGGUGAGUAACACGUGGAUAACCUACCUAUAAGACUGGGAUAACUUCGGGAAACCGGAGCUAAUACCGGAUAAUAUAUUGAACCUCAUGGUUCAAUAGUGAAAGACGGUUUUGCUGUCACUUAUAGAUGGAUCCGCGCCUCAUUAGCUAGUUGGUAAGGUAACGGCUUACCAAGGCAACGAUGCGUAGCCGACCUGAGAGGGUGAUGGGCCACACUGGAACUGGGACACGGUCCAGACUCCUACGGGAGGCAGCAGUAGGGAAUCUUCCGCAAUGGGAGAAAGCCUGACGGAGCAACGCCGCGUGAGUGAUGAAGGUCUUCGGAUCGUAAAACUCUGUUAUUAGGGAAGAACAAAUGUGUAAGUAACUAUGCACGUCUUGACGGUACCUAAUCAGAAAGCCACGGCUAACUACGUG
RNAcentral lists this ribosomal RNA (497 nucleotides) under uncultured bacterium. Its description in RNAcentral is "partial 16S ribosomal RNA". It matches the Rfam family "Bacterial small subunit ribosomal RNA", at positions 28 to 507 of the family's 1533-position model. The record is from RNAcentral.